CUAUGAUAGGUGGGGAGGUAGCGGUGCCCUGUAUCUGCAAUCCGCUAUAGCAGAACGGAAUCCCCAGUAUGCGGCCUGUUUUUGUGGGGACUGUCCCACGCACGUGGUGUUGAAGGUUGGGUCUUGAGCAACGAGAACCUGUUGAACCCCGUCAGGUCCGGAAGGAAGCAGCGGUAAACAGAACUCCCGUGUGACGCAAGGUAGCCUGGCCUGAGCUAACGACGCGGGCAACGCCCGGAAGAGCAUGUCAACUCUGGGUUCAUAG
Molecule: signal recognition particle RNA, 265 nt
Filed under: Candidatus Poribacteria bacterium
Lineage: Bacteria; Candidatus Poribacteria
Description: signal recognition particle sRNA large type
Rfam family: Bacterial large signal recognition particle RNA
About the family: The signal recognition particle (SRP) is a universally conserved ribonucleoprotein involved in the co-translational targeting of proteins to membranes. Archaeal SRP consists of a 7S RNA and homologues of the eukaryotic SRP19 and SRP54 proteins.
Source: RNAcentral